GCUAGUUGUCUGUUGCGUAGUCA
Molecule: non-coding RNA, 23 nt
Filed under: Arabidopsis thaliana (thale cress)
Lineage: Eukaryota; Viridiplantae; Streptophyta; Magnoliopsida; Brassicales; Brassicaceae
Source: RNAcentral